RNAcentral lists this ribosomal RNA (490 nucleotides) under uncultured bacterium. Its description in RNAcentral is "partial 16S ribosomal RNA". It matches the Rfam family "Bacterial small subunit ribosomal RNA", at positions 30 to 507 of the family's 1533-position model. The record is from RNAcentral.
AUUGAACGCUGGCGGCAGGCCUAACACAUGCAAGUCGAACGGUAACAGGAAGACGCUUGCUUCUUUGCUGACGAGUGGCGGGCGGGUGAGUAAUGUCUGGGAAACUGCCUGAUGGAGGGGGAUAACUACUGGAAACGGUAGCUAAUACCGCAUAACGUCGCAAGACCAAAAAGGGGGACCUUCGGGCCUCUUGCCAUCGGAUGUGCCCAGAUGGGAUUAGCUAGUAGGUGGGGUAACGGCUCACCUAGGCGACGAUCCCUAGCUGGUCUGAGAGGAUGACCAGCCACACUGGAACUGAGACACGGUCCAGACUCCUACGGGAGGCAGCAGUGGGGAAUAUUGCACAAUGGGCGCAAGCCUGAUGCAGCCAUGCCGCGUGUAUGAAGAAGGCCUUCGGGUUGUAAAGUACUUUCAGCGGGGAGGAAGGGAGUAAAGUUAAUACCUUUGCUCAUUGACGUUACCCGCAGAAGAAGCACCGGCUAACUCCGUG